CUGGAGGUAUCAGAAGUGCGAAUGCUGACAUAAGUAACGAUAAAGCGGGUGAAAAGCCCGCUCGCCGGAAGACCAAGGGUUCCUGUCCAACGUUAAUCGGGGCAGGGUGAGUCGACCCCUAAGGCGAGGCCGAAAGGCGUAGUCGAUGGGAAACAGGUUAAUAUUCCUGUACUUGGUGUUACUGCGAAGGGGGGACGGAGAAGGCUAUGUUGGCCGGGCGACGGUUGUCCCGGUUUAAGCGUGUAGGCUGGUUUUCCAGGCAAAUCCGGAAAAUCAAGGCUGAGGCGUGAUGACGAGGCACUACGGUGCUGAAGCAACAAAUGCCCUGCUUCCAGGAAAAGCCUCUAAGCAUCAGGUAACAUCAAAUCGUACCCCAAACCGACACAGGUGGUCAGGUAGAGAAUACCAAGGCGCUUGAGAGAACUCGGGUGAAGGAACUAGGCAAAAUGGUGCCGUAACUUCGGGAGAAGGCACGCUGAUAUGUAGGUGAAGCGACUUGCUCGUGGAGCUGA
Molecule: ribosomal RNA, 512 nt
Filed under: Escherichia coli
Lineage: Bacteria; Pseudomonadati; Pseudomonadota; Gammaproteobacteria; Enterobacterales; Enterobacteriaceae
Description: partial 23S ribosomal RNA
Rfam family: Bacterial large subunit ribosomal RNA
Source: RNAcentral